GAUGAACGCUGGCGGCGUGCUUAACACAUGCAAGUCGAACGAAGAAGCCCUGCUUGCUGGGUGGAUUAGUGGCGAACGGGUGAGUAACACGUGAGUAACCUGCCCUUCACUCUGGGAUAAGCCUGGGAAACUGGGUCUAAUACCGGAUAGGAGCGCCUACCGCAUGGUGGGUGUUGGAAAUAUUUCUCGGUUUUGUGUGGACUCGCGGCCUUUCAGCUUGUUGGGGAGAAAGUGGCUCACCAAGGCGACGACGGGUAGCCGGCCUGAGAGGGGGACCGGCCACACUGGGACUGGGACAGGGCCCAGACUCCAACGGAAGGCAGCGGUGGGGAAUAUGGAACAAUGGGCGAAAGCCUGAUGAAGGGACGCCGGGUGGGGGAUGACGGCCUUCGGGUUGUAAACCUCUUUCCGUGGGAAAGAAGCGUUAGUGACGGUACCUGGAGAAGAAGCACCGGCUAACUACGUG
RNAcentral lists this ribosomal RNA (466 nucleotides) under uncultured bacterium. Its description in RNAcentral is "partial 16S ribosomal RNA". It matches the Rfam family "Bacterial small subunit ribosomal RNA", at positions 28 to 507 of the family's 1533-position model. The record is from RNAcentral.